CCCUUAGAUGUUCUGGGCCGCACGCGUGCUACACUGAGUGGAUCAGCGGGUCAGGUUGCGCGAAAGUGUUUCCUAAUCUUUAAAUCCGCUCGUGAUGGGGAUUGACGGUUGCAAUUUUCCGUCAUGAACGAGGAAUACCUUGUAAGCGCGGGUCAUCAUCCCGCGCUGAAUACGUCCCUGCCCUUUGUACACACCGCCCGUCGCUCCUACCGAUUGAACGUGCUGGUGAAGCGUUAGGACUGGCUCUCGGGGCAGGUCUCCUGCCCCUUGAAUCGGGAAUUUCGUUGAACCCUCCCGUUUAGAGGAAGGAGAAGUCGUAACA
Molecule: ribosomal RNA, 322 nt
Filed under: uncultured eukaryote
Lineage: Eukaryota
Description: partial 18S ribosomal RNA
Rfam family: Eukaryotic small subunit ribosomal RNA
Source: RNAcentral